UACGCUUAGAAAAUAGAAAUGUAAUUUUUUUUCUUGGUGUUACAUUAACAAAACAAGUUCUCUCCUUCUGUUGAACCUCGGUGAGAAAGCAAUUUAAACUUCCCUCUUCUCAGCUCUUAUCCUCUAUCUCUGACUUGUGAGAGCGACGCUAGCGCUACUACAGAGACCCCUCAGAAUCUUCCUUCUCUCUUUAGCACGUGCUUGUUGCUAUCGUCUGUCUCUCUUUAUCACAUGAAUCUAAUGGCAUCGCCCCUCGCCUGCGCAACGCAGCUGCGCGACCACUUUUGUUCCCACCUCUCAGUACGUUUUAUCACUCUUUGAACGCGAGAUCCUACGUCGUCAUCCUUCCGAACUUCCAACAAUCUCAUUCGGUUCCGACAUGUCGCCCUGAACGGGCGGCUGCCCGCUCAGCCUUCCCAUUUCAUGAUCAUAACAUCAACACAACCUAUAAAAAAUUCCAAUUCUUAUCAAAAUCCCGCAUUUCAAAGUUGACUUCCUUAUCACUGCUCUUUUUUAUUAACAAUCGCUGUUUCACUGCAAGGAAAUGCAUUUCUCCUUUUUGUGCUGUGCUUUCCUAGUUUUGUGUCAAUUUAACCAUUCAGUGCUAAGCUGAUAGUGUGCCUCCACAGUCUCUGGACAUGCCCUCUUCGCUCUCACAUCAUUCCCAUUGAUAAAUUGAUAUUAAGUGAGAUUAUUGCUCUGUCAUCACAUCAUGAUCGCAUACUCAAGUAUUAUUUAGAUUUUUUUCCCCAUUUCAUCCAUUAUCAUGUCAACCGAGAACAAAGAACUUGUUCUAUUGAUCUCCAAAAUAACGGGUCCAACGAAUCCGAAGUUCAGCAAAUACCUACCACAUAUUCUCAGGAGAUUGAAAAAUAAUGACAGUGAAAUUGAUAUUCUGUUGAAGCAUCAAGAUUUCUUUGAGAUCCUCAAAGCUGCUCUGACCAAACCAGGCUGUGACACAACCAUUCUCUUCUUAUCUAUACUGGACAUCUGCUGCUGUAAAAGCUCAUUUUGCAGUGAGCUGUCAGGACAUAAUAUUGUGCAUCAUCUGACUUUUAUUUUACAAAAUUUGAACGAUCGCAAGCUACUAAGUUACACGUGCAAAGUGAUCGGCAAGCUAGCAAAAUCCAACACUCCGGAUUUAGUAGGGGAGUUGAACAAGUCCAAAGCCUUACUAUUCGUUACAAAAGUUUUAAAUGAUACCCGAAACGGCUGGAAAGAUACACAAACCACAGCACUCUAUGCUUUGGGGUGGCUGUGGAAUGUGUGUUUUAUGGCAGAUAUUGUCAGGUCAAAUUCAAUCAAAUACGUCAUGACUCUUUUGCUGUCAGAGAAUACAUCAGUUUACAAACCUUGUUUAAUCGCAUUGAGUAGGCUAAAGUUGAAUCAGAAACCUGCAUCAAUUAAAUGUGCUUUGCAGGUUAGUGAAAAUAAAGGUUUUGCAAAAAUUAUAUCACUGCUCCCAAAGUAUCCAGAUCUUGUUGGAACCGUUCUGUCAACUUUAAUGGGAACUCGUGCAUGUGAAGUUUACAAACCUCUCAGCGAAAAUAAAAUGCUCUACACAGUCUUUGACCAGCUAAAAACACAACCAAAUAAUUUUAUCCUGCUCCGUACCUUUUGUUUAGCGUGUCUAGAUAGCUCCUUACAAGUCAGUCUGAGGAUAUCCAACUCUCUUCCAUUUUUCCUCUCUCUUUUCAAACAAUUCUCGUAUAAAUCCAAAGAGAUGGAUUAUUAGUCAGUACUCUUGAAAAAUUUGAAAAAAAUACUGAUUGUUUAAGGGUAAGUCUGUUAUUAUUUAGUUAUUAUUUUCCUUUGUUUUGUGGCUAACUUAGUUGUUCUUCAUUAUAUGUUCUUUGUUAAUAUUGGAAGUAGUUAUUUUGUUAAUGCAAGGGGUGUCCCAUAAGGACUGUCAGAAAUUUAGAAAACAUAGCUUUAAAGGAAAUUGAAUCUGGUCAAUUUCAACUUUUUGACCCUCAGCUCAGUCAUCUUGGUCCAGAACAUUUUUUCCAACGAUUUUGCACUUCUCAAACACUUGCUCAAAACUACCCCAAGAAGUUUAUUGAAGGUCUAAAGAACCUCUCAUAUGAUUAUUGGCCUAAGGGUGUAGAUAAAAGUCAUUAGGCGUCAGAAUUAGACCAACAUAUUGGCAGGAUUCCAUUUCAACAUAUUUCAUGGGGGGGGUGCACGUGCUGUGACCCAAGAUCGGUACUGGAGAGUGGUAGUCAACAGUCGCUGAACCCACCGAGCGCAAACAUCAGUAGGGUUCAGUUGAUCAUGUAAUUUUGUAUAUCAUUACUGAAUCGUUCUUAUUCCAAUAAGAAGAAAUUGAUUUUCUAUGUUUUACUAUGGGUUGAAGAAAAUGACUGUGAAAUAGUAGGAUAAACUGUAAACUUGCAAGUCAGACAUGACCCCAAACUCGACUCUCUUUUUUGUAAAGUAGAGUGUAUUUUUCUAAAAGAAAAAAAACUAACGCAAAUUGCAUCUCAUUAUCUACCUUGUUCAAAAAAUGUAAUUUGUAGGUUUCCUACUUGACAAUGCUACCACAAGAACCGGAAUCAUUUUCUUGUCUGAAACUUGAUUGUGAAGAUCUGAUAUCCAAAACCAGUAAAUGCUGCGCUAUAAAUCAUCCUACGGGUGGACGGGGAAUAGGAAACUGAAAUUGAAGAAUAACUAAAUAGGGUUGAAGGUUGAACUAGAUAAGGUGAACUAGCUUACAUUACUUUUUUAUUCCCACGAUUCCAGGAGAUGGCUGAACAUGGUCUAGUGGACAUUUUGGCUUCCAUUUUACACGACAUUGUACAAAAUGAAAAGUUGGAUGAUAUAUCCAUGAAAAAACAUAUCAGCCCCCUUCAUGUUGCACACGGUAUUUGUCACUGGAUCACUCUUUUUCAAAAAGCGGAGAAUGCUCAGGAUAUGACGCAGAUAAUUCAUGGCACUCUGUAAGUACCUUGAUAUUUUUCUGUCAUCUUUUUCAAGGUUUAUUCAAAGAAUGUUUUGUUUGCUAUUAGAAUUACUUAGAACCAAACAUCAGUUGUAAGGAAUCAUCGAAAUUACAAUGGCGUGCUGUAUGAGGAAGUGCUCUAAUUCUAUGUUUUUUUGCUCAGAAUGUUUGUAUUUUAUGCUCCGUAACCCAUAGAUUAGAUAUGCCAAAUACAGCUCAAUUUUUCGGACUCUUAAACUCUGAUCACUAUGUUUAAGAGCAAGUAGCUGCCAUCAGUGAAUUUGUACUAUCAGUUCUUCAUCAGUUCAGACACUCUUUCAUGCUUGACUAAAUAAUGAAAUCCAGGAAUAAACAGGAACUCUCAUCAUAAGCGUCUCUGUCGCUGUCUCCAAACUCUAUGCCGAAGCAUCCCAUCGUGGGAAAACUAAGACAUUUUUGCAUCAAAUUCUCCAAAGUUUUGGAUACUUAUCUGUAAACUUUUAAGAGAAAGUUUUCGAUAUUUAUGAGUGCUCUCCUGCAAUUAAAUUACAUGGAUUUAUUUUCCUUGCUCUUCCUCUAUCUCAGAUUUUACUAUCUUAAUUUCUUGGAUCUUGUACUUCAUUGUCGCCUCUUUUUUCUUACAGAUUAACUCCAUCCUAAUAGUAUUAUUGGCUGUCACCCGUCUUGAGAAUUUGAGUCAAAAAAUCAUUGUUGCUUUGACCUCGGAAGAAGUGUGGAACUCAGUUUUGAACUGCAUUUGUUUUGUACCAGACACAAUUAGCAAAAACGCUAUCAACAUAUUAUCUUCAUUAGGAAGGUAAGAUGUCUCAUGAUUGUUGGUAUUGUCAAUAUAUAUGUGAUAUUGUUGGUGUUUAAUAGGAAAAUAAUCACAGCCCUGCCUAAUGAAUCUGAAAGGAAUGAAAAUGGAAAUGUUGUCUUCUGUUGACAAAACUCUAAAAUUGGCAGCUCUUUUUUCCUUUGACGUAAUGAAAUCCCAAACAUAAAACAUGUAACAUUCUUUGUUGGCGAGCUUGUUUAUUUUUUCAACUGUUCUUUGUAGGUACUCCUAUACUUUCUAGAUUGAGCUAGUAACACCAACGACCAACGCAGUCCUUAUUAGAGUCAGAUAUUUGCGAUUUAACCGUCAGUUCCUUUGUACAGUAUCAUCAGAAACACAAUAUUGUCAUUGCUUUUUUCUCACAGUAACUCCAUGAAUGGAAGUGUAUCCAGUAUGAAAAUGUAUUGACUCUCACAUGGGCUAGGUGCUCUGACAAGAAUCGAUUAUUCAACACAGGUUUAAAUGGAGAAAAGCCUCUGUUGUUAACCCGCUAGAUCUGCCUGCAUUAUUUGGCCCACAAAACUUACAGCAACUGAUAACAUAGCAACAGCUCAUUUUUGCUAGCUACAAAAACUCCACUAGCUGUAGAUGAGGGUCUCCUUAUUGCUAUAAAUUCUGAACGAAUUCAUUUUGAUAGCUUACUAUAAACCGAUAGGACACAUCCGAUUUACAAUCAGCCCUAUUUUUGUAUAGAACAUUUUUUUAAUUCAAAAGUGGGUUCUCCCCUUGUUGCGUAGUGUUUAUCUACUAAAAUCUCAAAUUUGAAAGCUUUAAAGAGCUCAAAAAUGUAUUAAUUUCUGACAGCAUCACCCCAAACUCUUAUGGGAAUUUGAUUAAACAACUACUUUUUUCAACAUACUGAAAAAUAUAAUGCCUACUUUUUUCAUUUUAUUUCAGUUCUCCCAAACAUUUUAUGAGCAUUUAUAGAAAUAAAUUGGUCUUGAAGAUUGAGAGAACACUCUUACGUGCAGCACAUGAUGACUGCUAUCAUUGCGCUUACUUGUACCUUGCUGGAAAGUAUAUCCUUCAGAAAAUGUCAAAAGCUGCUGAAUGUGGAAUGGUGUACGGAGAGUUGAUACAUAUUCUUGCUCAAGAUGAGCCUCAAGCCAAAAGAGAAUUGGCUAUUAGUGUAGCAUUAGUCAUCAGGUAAUGAAAAGAUCUUAGUUUUCUCCUUAUUUUUAUUCCAUCCAAUUAGCUUCAAAAGUAUGGUUCCUGAACCACUGCAUGGUCUGCAAUAGCAUUUAUAAAAUUUUACCAAAAAUAUGAGAAAGUGGCCACUGACAAAACUUUUAAGUAGAAAAGGAAAAAUGACAAAAAUCUUCCUUUUGUCUCAGCAGAAUCAGAUAUUGUAUUUUUACAUGCUCAAAAUUCAGCCUAAAAUCGAGAAAAAAGGAGCCCUUUCCUUGGUGGAACACUUGGAAAGUGUUGUUGCUGCCAUUUUUUAUUUAUUUUUUUUUUAUUUUUUGGAGUCUUUUAUUGUGGAGUUGUCAUUUUUAUAUAAUUGUUAUUAUAUAUGGUAUCAUAUUAUUAUAAUUGUCAUAUUUUGAAUGAGAAUAGAAGUUUUGAUCGCUGUUGAUGCUUAAGGGGUUAGAGAGAGGUUUCCAAAAAUUGACAUUGGAACCUGAAAUUCCAACAAUAAAAAAAAACAGAGCUCAGGGAUAUCUGGCGCAAGACUGGAAUUUUUGCUUUUCACUUAAUUUCUGAGUUUGCUAGACUUAUGAGUUAGAAAUUAUGACUAUUGUUAUGAAAUUAUAACUUCGAAUAAAGAAAAUCGUAAAAUUUUCAGACUUCAAAAAUGAAGUGAACAGUAGAUAUUGCUCUAUUAAUAAUGCGCCAUAAGAUUAAAGGUUAAAGUACAAGUUUUCCUCUUUCAAUCAAGGAAACAUGAAAAAUCAGAGAUUUUUUCUUUUAAAAGUUGUUAAUAUCAAGUAAUCUUUAUUUUUAUCAAUCAUAAUUAAAUUAAUUCUUCCCAUUUUUCCUUUCAGGAAUGGGCGUUCAUUAUUAAGUUACUUAUCUCAUCACAAAUGUUUGGAUUACAUCAUCGAGGCUUUGGAUGACCCUGUUCUGUAUGAGGAUGCUAUAGUCAGCAUAUCUUUCAUGU
This 5859-nucleotide long non-coding RNA is filed under the name Bemisia tabaci. Its description in RNAcentral is "lncRNA ENSSWEETPG001700". The record is from RNAcentral. Lineage: Eukaryota; Metazoa; Arthropoda; Insecta; Hemiptera; Aleyrodidae.